This is a long non-coding RNA of Mus musculus (house mouse), 957 nucleotides long. RefSeq annotates it as predicted gene, 38925. The transcript has 4 exons. The record is from RefSeq and is a predicted model, not a curated record. Lineage: Eukaryota; Metazoa; Chordata; Mammalia; Rodentia; Muridae.
UCAUCAAGAACCUGUAGGGGCUGGGGGAGGAGCCUGCAUCAUACAAAGAGCUUCACUGACUGAAUCUCCCAAAGAAGGACACUCCACACUCCAGACACUCAUCCCUGAGCUAAGCUCCUCCCUCCCCCAGGCCAGGGCUCCUCACUGGCCUAUGGGUCCCCUCCAUUCCCGACUCCUUGAAGUUCCUAGAGGCACCUGGGUGUCCAGAAACCCCAGCUUUGGCCCCAGCCUGUGUCGGUUCUCACCCUGGGGUUGGAGUCCCCCAUCUUAGACUGCAUCCCACCACCCCUGAGCAUGUGUCUUCAGAGAGCCUAACCACCCGCUGGCUGUGAAGAAGGAAUGUAGCCUAGCACACACCUCCUUUCACAUUAAAGAACACACAGUUCUCAGCACACGUAUGAGGUUGCUCACAACCACCUGUAACUCAAGCUCCAAGAGAUCCACUGCCCUCUUCUAGCUUCUGUGGCUGUUUCUCAAGACUUAGAAUGAUGUGAGCCAAGGAGAGACUCAGCGGCUAUCAUCUCUGCAGCCAUCUCGGGCUAUUUACUUACAGACUCCAUUGACUGACCUGCGCACUGGGUCAGUGGGAAAAGGUGCUUGCUGCCAAACCUGCUGACCUGAACCUGAGGAACCCCGUGGUGAGGAGAGAACUGACUUCUCAAAGUUGUGCCCUCACCUCCGUGCACUCUGGUUUGCACACGAACACACAAUGCUCUUUUAAUAAAAUACUAAGGUAACACUUUAGCUACACAGUGUAAAGCCUGCCUAGUAGCCUUAGAAAGAGCAAGCUAUGAUAAGGCUCAAGUAUAUGAGACUUAAACCAGCUAUUGUUUGCAAGUCAUUAUUGCAUUAUAUAACUAGUACAUUAAAGACACAUUUAUAUCCUCUUUUGUUGGGGAGGCUCUUUGUUUGUUUGUUUUUGAGAUGGGAGCGCAUGUUGUCCUGACUGCCCUCAAA